This is a long non-coding RNA of Pimephales promelas (fathead minnow), 607 nucleotides long. RefSeq lists it as uncharacterized. Lineage: Eukaryota; Metazoa; Chordata; Actinopteri; Cypriniformes; Leuciscidae. The record is from RefSeq and is a predicted model, not a curated record.
GAAAGAAAGACAUGGACAUCUUGGAUGACAUGGGGACUUGUUUAUCCACUCUUGGGUGCGGAUGAGCAGGUAUCUUUGUCACCUGAGGGCGGACCCACACAUAUAAAUACAGCAGGGAAACGGCAAGUCCACACUGAAAGAGCAAGACAAGAAGAGUUCAGUUUUACUGCCGUAUUGCACUUCAGAAAAAAAUCUCAACAUGGGCGAUAAACCACCAAAGACGGAUGAACAUCAUUCUGAGAGCUCAGACGAUGAGGGUGGAAAGGGGAAGCAUGGAAAGGGCCAAGACAAAGGGAAAGGCAAAGGUCAAGGUCAUGGAAAAGGUCAUGAACACAGUCAUGGAGGUGAACAUGGGAAAGCAGGUGAACAUGGGAAAAAAGGUGAAAAAGGAAAAAAGUGAGACUAAAACUUCAAAGCCUGAAACAACAUGAUGCUCCAUGCAAACAAAAAAAACUGGGUUUCAGUUCACCUUUGCAAUCAAAUAAUGAAAUUAAAACACCUUGAACACCUUGUCUUUGUUUUUAAUCUUUGAGCAUGACUGUUUUUAAUGAAAUGUGCAAAUCAUAUCUGUUUGUAAGCAAUAAACACAUCAAGAUCAGAAUCUAAA